Molecule: ribosomal RNA, 450 nt
Filed under: uncultured bacterium
Lineage: Bacteria
Description: partial 16S ribosomal RNA
Rfam family: Bacterial small subunit ribosomal RNA
Source: RNAcentral
GUGGGGAAUUUUGGACAAUGGGCGCAAGCCUGAUCCAGCCAUUCCGCGUGCAGGAUGAAGGCCUUCGGGUUGUAAACUGCUUUUGUACGGAACGAAAAGGUUCUCUCUAAUACAGGGGGCUGAUGACGGUACCGUAAGAAUAAGCACCGGCUAACUACGUGCCAGCAGCCGCGGUAAUACGUAGGGUGCAAGCGUUAAUCGGAAUUACUGGGCGUAAAGCGUGCGCAGGCGGUGAUGUAAGACAGAUGUGAAAUCCCCGGGCUCAACCUGGGAACUGCAUUUGUGACUGCAUUGCUGGAGUGCGGCAGAGGGGGAUGGAAUUCCGCGUGUAGCAGUGAAAUGCGUAGAUAUGCGGAGGAACACCGAUGGCGAAGGCAAUCCCCUGGGCCUGCACUGACGCUCAUGCACGAAAGCGUGGGGAGCAAACAGGAUUAGAUACCCUAGUAGUCC